This 497-nucleotide ribosomal RNA is filed under the name uncultured bacterium. RNAcentral describes it as "partial 16S ribosomal RNA". It matches the Rfam family "Bacterial small subunit ribosomal RNA", at positions 28 to 507 of the family's 1533-position model. The record is from RNAcentral.
GACGAACGCUGGCGGCGUGCCUAAUACAUGCAAGUUGAGCGCUGAAGGUUGGUACUUGUACCGACUGGAUGAGCAGCGAACGGGUGAGUAACGCGUGGGGAAUCUGCCUUUGAGCGGGGGACAACAUUUGGAAACGAAUGCUACUACCGCAUAAAAACUUUAAACACAAGUUUUAAGUUUGAAAGAUGCAAUUGCAUCACUCAAAGAUGAUCCCGCGUUGUAUUAGCUAGUUGGUGAGGUAAAGGCUCACCAAGGCGAUGAUACAUAGCCGACCUGAGAGGGUGAUCGGCCACAUUGGGACUGAGACACGGCCCAAACUCCUACGGGAGGCAGCAGUAGGGAAUCUUCGGCAAUGGACGAAAGUCUGACCGAGCAACGCCGCGUGAGUGAAGAAGGUUUUCGGAUCGUAAAACUCUGUUGGUAGAGAAGAACGUGGGUGAGAGUGGAAAGCUCAUCAAGUGACGGUAACUACCCAGAAAGGGACGGCUAACUACGUG